RNAcentral lists this ribosomal RNA (464 nucleotides) under uncultured bacterium. Its description in RNAcentral is "bacterial SSU rRNA". It matches the Rfam family "Bacterial small subunit ribosomal RNA", at positions 28 to 482 of the family's 1533-position model. The record is from RNAcentral.
GACGAACGCUGGCGGCGUGCCUAACACAUGCAAGUCAGGGAGGAAAGGGUAGCAAUAUCCGUGAGUAAACCGGCGAACGGGUGAGUAACACGUAGGCAACUUACCUUGAGAACGGGAAUAACCCCCGGGAAACCGGGGCUAAGUACCCGAUGUUAUUCCGUUGUAGCAUUGCAAUGGAAUAAAAAGCCCGCAAGGGCGUCGACAAGAUAGGCCUGCGUCCCAUUAGAUAGUUGGCGGGGUAACAGCCCACCAAGUCGACGAUGGGUAGGCUGGUCUGAGAGGACGAUCAGCCACACUGGAACUGAGACACGGUCCAGACUUCUACGGAAGGCAGCAGUGAGGAUAUUGCUCAAUGGGCGAAAAGCCUGAAGCAGCGACGCCGCGUGAAGGAUGAAAUCCGUUAGGACUGUAAACUUCUUUUGCGGGGGAAGAAUGUGCGCCUUGGGCGCAUUGACGGUACCCCG